RNAcentral lists this ribosomal RNA (516 nucleotides) under Jellisonia amadoi. RNAcentral describes it as "partial large subunit ribosomal RNA". It matches the Rfam family "Bacterial large subunit ribosomal RNA", at positions 1796 to 2587 of the family's 2925-position model. The record is from RNAcentral. Lineage: Eukaryota; Metazoa; Arthropoda; Insecta; Siphonaptera; Ceratophyllidae.
UCGCCUGUUUAUCAAAAACAUGUCUUUUUGAUUAUAAUUUUAAGUCUAAUCUGCCCAUUGAAAAAUUUAAAAGGCCGCGGUAUUUUGACUGUGCAAAGGUAGCAUAAUCAAUAGUUUCUUAAUUAGAAGCUGGAAUGAAUGAUUGAAUGAAAUAUUAACUGUCUUAUUAUAAAUGAUUUAGAAUUUAAUUUUUGAGUUAAAAAGCUUAAAUUUCAUUGAAGGACGAGAAGACCCUUUAAAGCUUUAUAUUUAAAUUAUUUAUUAAUUAAAUAAAAAUUAAGUUAUAAAUAAGUAAAAUAUUUUAUUGGGGUGAUAGGAAAAUUUAAUAAACUUUUUUUAAAAGAAACAUUGAUUAAUGAAUAUUUGAUCCGUUAUUAAUGAUUAAAAGAUUAAGUUACUUAAGGGAUAACAGCGUAAUAUUUUUUGAGAGAACUUAUCGAUAAAAAAGAUUGCGACCUCGAUGUUGGAUUAAGAUUAUUUUUAGGUGUAGAAGUUUAAAAAUUUGGUCGUCGCCUU